Molecule: antisense RNA, 75 nt
Filed under: Micromonospora zamorensis
Lineage: Bacteria; Bacillati; Actinomycetota; Actinomycetes; Micromonosporales; Micromonosporaceae
Also listed under: 1 other name
Description: ASpks TB sRNA
Rfam family: ASpks TB sRNA
Source: RNAcentral
CUUGAUCGAGCCCAGCCACAGCGGCUCGUCGGUGGGCCGGUCCUGACCGUAGGUGGCCAGCAGUGCCUGCGCCUC